AAUACAUGCAAGUCGAGCGGACCGACGGGAGCUUGCUCCCUUAGUCAGCGGCGGACGGGUGAGUAACACGUGGGUAACCUGCCUGUAAGACUGGGAUAACUCCGGGAAACCGGGGCUAAUACCGGAUGCUUGAUUGAACCGCAUGGUUCAAUCAUAAAAGGUGGCUUUUAGCUACCACUUGCAGAUGGACCCGCGGCGCAUUAGCUAGUUGGUGAGGUAACGGCUCACCAAGGCGACGAUGCGUAGCCGACCUGAGAGGGUGAUCGGCCACACUGGGACUGAGACACGGCCCAGACUCCUACGGGAGGCAGCAGUAGGGAAUCUUCCGCAAUGGACGAAAGUCUGACGGAGCAACGCCGCGUGAGUGAUGAAGGUUUUCGGAUCGUAAAACUCUGUUGUUAGGGAAGAACAAGUACCGUUCGAAUAGGGCGGUACCUUGACGGUACCUAACCAGAAAGCCACGGCUAACUACGUGCCAGCAGCCGCGGUAAUACGUAGGUGGCAAGCGUUGUCCGGAAUUAUUGGGCGUAAAGCGCGCGCAGGCGGUUUCUUAAGUCUGAUGUGAAAGCCCCCGGCUCAACCGGGGAGGGUCAUUGGAAACUGGGGAACUUGAGUGCAGAAGAGGAGAGUGGAAUUCCACGUGUAGCGGUGAAAUGCGUAGAGAUGUGGAGGAACACCAGUGGCGAAGGCGACUCUCUGGUCU
RNAcentral lists this ribosomal RNA (703 nucleotides) under uncultured Bacilli bacterium. RNAcentral describes it as "bacterial SSU rRNA". It matches the Rfam family "Bacterial small subunit ribosomal RNA", at positions 50 to 735 of the family's 1533-position model. Lineage: Bacteria; Bacillati; Bacillota; Bacilli. The record is from RNAcentral.